AUGACGGCCUUCGGGUUGUAAACCUCUUUCAGCGCUGACGAAGCCUUCGGGUGACGGUAGGCGCAGAAGAAGCACCGGCUAACUACGUGCCAGCAGCCGCGGUAAUACGUAGGGUGCGAGCGUUGUCCGGAAUUAUUGGGCGUAAAGGGCUCGUAGGCGGCCUGUUGCGUCUGCCGUGAAAGCCCGGGGCUCAACCCCGGGUCUGCGGUGGAUACGGGCAGGCUAGAGUCCGGCAGGGGAGACUGGAAUUCCUGGUGUAGCGGUGAAAUGCGCAGAUAUGUGGAGGAACACCGGUGGCGAAGGCGGAUCUCUGGGCUUGUUCUGACGCUGAGGAGCGAAAGCGUGGGGAGCGAACAGGAUUAGAUACCCUGGUAGUCCAUGCUGUAAACGGUGGGCGCUAGGUGUGGGGCCACGUUGGUUGGUUCUGUGCCGUAGCUAACGCAUUAAGCGCCCCGCCUGGGGAGUACGGCCGCAAGGCUA
Molecule: ribosomal RNA, 480 nt
Filed under: uncultured bacterium
Lineage: Bacteria
Description: bacterial SSU rRNA
Rfam family: Bacterial small subunit ribosomal RNA
Source: RNAcentral